This 493-nucleotide ribosomal RNA is filed under the name uncultured bacterium. RNAcentral describes it as "partial 16S ribosomal RNA". It matches the Rfam family "Bacterial small subunit ribosomal RNA", at positions 29 to 507 of the family's 1533-position model. The record is from RNAcentral.
ACGAACGCUGGCGGCGUGCUUCACACAUGCAAGUCGAACGGUGAAGCGCCUUCCUUUUUGGUGGGUGUGGAUGAGUGGCGAACGGGUGAGUAACACGUGAGUAACCUGCCCCCUUCUUCUGGAUAACCGCAUGAAAGUGUGGCUAAUACGGGAUAUUCUGGGUCUGUCGCAUGAUGGGUCUGGGAAAGAUAUUGUUUCGGUGGGGGAUGGGCUCGCGGCCUAUCAGCUUGUUGGUGGGGUGAUGGCCUACCAAGGCGGUGACGGGUAGCCGGCCUGAGAGGGUGGACGGUCACACUGGGACUGAGACACGGCCCAGACUCCUACGGGAGGCAGCAGUGGGGAAUAUUGCACAAUGGGCGCAAGCCUGAUGCAGCGACGCCGCGUGAGGGAUGGAGGCCUUCGGGUUGUGAACCUCUUUCGCCAGUGAAGCAGGCCUGCCUCGUUUGUGGGUGGGUUGACGGUAGCUGGACAAGAAGCGCCGGCUAACUACGUG